This 234-nucleotide ribosomal RNA is filed under the name uncultured bacterium. RNAcentral's name for it is "partial 16S ribosomal RNA". It matches the Rfam family "Bacterial small subunit ribosomal RNA", at positions 96 to 334 of the family's 1533-position model. The record is from RNAcentral.
UGGCGGACGGGUGAGUAAUGUCUGGGGAACUGCCUGAUGGGGGGGGAUAACUACUGGAAACGGUAGCUAUACCGCAUAACGUCGCAAGACCAAAGAGGGGGACCUUCGGGCCUCUUGCCAUCGGAUGUGCCCAGAUGGGAUUAGCUAGUAGGUGGGGUAAAGGCUCACCUAGGCGACGAUCCCUAGCUGGUCUGAGAGGAUGACCAGCCACACUGGAACUGAGACACGGUCCAG